AGUGAACGCUGGCGGUAGGCCUAACACAUGCAAGUCGAACGGCAGCACAGGAGAGCUUGCUCUCUAGGUGGCGAGUGGCGGACGGGUGAGGAAUACAUCGGAAUCUGCCCAGUCGUGGGGGAUAACUUAGGGAAACUUACGCUAAUACCGCAUACGACCUUCGGGUGAAAGAGGGGGAUCGCAAGACCUCUCGCGAUUGGAUGAGCCGAUGUCGGAUUAGCUAGUUAGCGGGGUAAUGGCCCACCAAGGCGACGAUCCGUAGCUGGUCUGAGAGGAUGAUCAGCCACACUGGAACUGAGACACGGUCCAGACUCCUACGGGAGGCAGCAGUGGGGAAUAUUGGACAAUGGGCGCAAGCCUGAUCCAGCCAUACCGCGUGGGUGAAGAAGGCCUUCGGGUUGUAAAGCCCUUUUGUUGGGAAAGAAAUCUUUCAGGCUAAUACCCUGGGAGGAUGACGGUACCCAAAGAAUAAGCACCGGCUAACUUCGUG
This 490-nucleotide ribosomal RNA is filed under the name uncultured bacterium. RNAcentral describes it as "partial 16S ribosomal RNA". It matches the Rfam family "Bacterial small subunit ribosomal RNA", at positions 29 to 507 of the family's 1533-position model. The record is from RNAcentral.